ACGAAUUUCACAACUAAGAGAAAAAUAAUCACUUAUUCAAUUAAGCACUUAAGCAUGCAAUUAAUGAAAAAUUACAACUAAUUGAUUAUGAUUGAAAUCUAACCCCCUUACCUUAAUUAGAAAUAAUCCUAGCCAAAGCUUCAAUUUAGCUCCUAGAAUCUCUAUCACCUCUUGGGUCUUCAAGCUUUUCUCCCUUCUAACCCUUUU
This 207-nucleotide long non-coding RNA is filed under the name Medicago truncatula (barrel medic). RNAcentral's name for it is "long non-coding RNA (MTRU_LNC008512)". The record is from RNAcentral. Lineage: Eukaryota; Viridiplantae; Streptophyta; Magnoliopsida; Fabales; Fabaceae.